This 636-nucleotide ribosomal RNA is filed under the name uncultured bacterium. RNAcentral's name for it is "bacterial SSU rRNA". It matches the Rfam family "Bacterial small subunit ribosomal RNA", at positions 60 to 704 of the family's 1533-position model. The record is from RNAcentral.
AGUCGAGCGAGGUCCAUCCAGUGGUAACACUGGUGAAGACCUAGCGGCGAACGGGUGAGUAACACGUGAGAAACCUGCCCCGAAGACUGGGAUAACUCUCCGAAAGGAGAGCUAAUACCAGAUGCCCUCACCGGGCCGCAUGACUUGGUGAGGAAAUGGAUUCCGCUUCGGGAGGGUCUCGCGGCCUAUCAGCUUGUUGGUGAGGUAACGGCUCACCAAGGCUUCGACGGGUAGCUGGUCUGAGAGGAUGAUCAGCCACACUGGGACUGAGACACGGCCCAGACUCCUACGGGAGGCAGCAGUGGGGAAUCUUGCGCAAUGGGCGAAAGCCUGACGCAGCAACGCCGCGUGGGGGAUGAAGGCUCUCGGGUUGUAAACCCCUUUCAGCAGGGAAGAUUAUGACGGUACCUGCAGAAGAAGCCCCGGCCAACUACGUGCCAGCAGCCGCGGUAAUACGUAGGGGGCAAGCGUUGUCCGGAUUUAUUGGGGCGUAAAGAGCUUGUAGGCGGCUUGGUAAGUCGAGUGUGAAAACUCCAGGCUCAACCUGGAGACGCCAUUCGAUACUGCCAUGGCUAGAGUCCGGUAGAGGAGCACGGAAUUCCUGGUGUAGCGGUGAAAUGCGCAGAUAUCAGGAGG